This 429-nucleotide ribosomal RNA is filed under the name Bacteroidota bacterium. Its description in RNAcentral is "Bacteroidetes bacterium partial 16S ribosomal RNA". It matches the Rfam family "Bacterial small subunit ribosomal RNA", at positions 355 to 776 of the family's 1533-position model. The record is from RNAcentral. Lineage: Bacteria; Pseudomonadati; Bacteroidota.
UAGGGAAUCUUCCGCAAUGGGCGAAAGCCUGACGGAGCAACGCCGCGUGAGUGAUGAAGGUCUUCGGAUCGUAAAACUCUGUUAUUAGGGAAGAAUAAAUGUGUAAGUAACUAUGCACGUCUUGACGGUACCUAAUCAGAAAGCCACGGCUAACUACGUGCCAGCAGCCGCGGUAAUACGUAGGUGGCAAGCGUUAUCCGGAAUUAUUGGGCGUAAAGCGCGCGUAGGCGGUUUUUUAAGUCUGAUGUGAAAGCCCACGGCUCAACCGUGGAGGGUCAUUGGAAACUGGAAAACUGGAGUGCAGAAGAGGAAAGUGGAAUUCCAUGUGUAGCGGUAAAAUGCGCAAAGAUAUAGAGGAACGCCAGUGGCGAAGGCGACUUUCUGGUCUGUAACUGACGCGGAUGUGCGAAAGCGUGGGGAUCAAACAGG